This 301-nucleotide ribosomal RNA is filed under the name uncultured bacterium. RNAcentral describes it as "partial 16S ribosomal RNA". It matches the Rfam family "Bacterial small subunit ribosomal RNA", at positions 509 to 807 of the family's 1533-position model. The record is from RNAcentral.
CAGUCGCCGCGGUAAUACAGAGGGUGCGAGCGUUAAUCGGAUUUACUGGGCGUAAAGCGUGCGUAGGCGGCUUCUUAAGUCGGAUGUGAAAUCCCUGAGCUUAACUUAGGAAUUGCAUUCGAUACUGGGAAGCUAGAGUAUGGGAGAGGAUGGUAGAAUUCCAGGUAUAGCGGUGAAAUGCGUAGAGAUCUGGAGGAAUACCGAUGGCGAAGGCAGCCAUCUGGCCUAAUACUGACGCUGAGGUACGAAAGCAUGGGGAGCAAACAGGAUUAGAUACCCGAGUAGUCCCUGUCUCUUAUAC